GAAGGCCGCCAGCAGCCAGAGCCCCACGGAGAAGCCCGCGAAGGAGAUGGCGAAGUACAGGCUGUCCCGGGAGCCCAGGGCGGCCUGCACGACGGAGAAGCCCACCUGGCAGCCCAGGAACAGGAAGUCGGCGGCGGCCAGGUGGAGGACGUACACGGAGAAGGGGCCCCUCCUGAUGUGCAAGCCAAGGUGCCAGAGGACCAGCCCGUUGCCCAGCAGCCCUCCGAGGCCGACGGCCAGGGUCAGGGACUCUGCACGUGGCUUCCCACCAGGAGGGCCUGGACCACACCCUGGUACACCGAAGGAGCUGACCAGACUCCGCGGCUCGGAGGUAAGCGGCAGGGAGGCCAGGCU
RNAcentral lists this long non-coding RNA (354 nucleotides) under Ailuropoda melanoleuca (giant panda). Its description in RNAcentral is "lncRNA (ENSAMEG00000024910.1)". Lineage: Eukaryota; Metazoa; Chordata; Mammalia; Carnivora; Ursidae. The record is from RNAcentral.